GAAUGGCCGCAGUAUUUUAACUGUGCUAAGGUAGCAUAAUCAUUUGUCUUUUAAUUGAGGGCUGGAAUGAAGGGUUGGACGAGGUAUUAGCUUUCUUUAAUUUAGUUAGAAGAAUUUAAUUUUUGAGUUAAAAAGCUUAAAUUUAUUUGUGGGACGAGAAGACCCUAUAGAUCUUUAUAGUUUAAUACUUUAGUAAUUUAGGGAUUUAUGUACUUUAAGUAGAAGAACUAUUUUGUUGGGGUGACUGUAGAAUUUGAAUAACUUCUA
Molecule: ribosomal RNA, 267 nt
Filed under: Triatoma rubrovaria
Lineage: Eukaryota; Metazoa; Arthropoda; Insecta; Hemiptera; Reduviidae
Description: partial 16S ribosomal RNA
Source: RNAcentral